UUUUACUUCUAAAUCCCAUCUCUCUCUCUAUCUGUUUCGUGACUAGACCACAUGCUCAUGCAGACAGAUCCAGACCCACCCACAUACUCAUCCCACAUGGAUGUAUGGGAUAUAGCCCAGAGGACAUCUGCCCCACCAUCUCGGUCUCCCUGUGGCGUCUUAAAAAAAUUUUUGUGUGCCAACUCUUUGUGCCUUCAUCAAAUUUGUUUAUACGUGUUCAUCAUAUGACAAACCUUCCAAUCACUUCUGGCUGUCUUUACAUUUGUUUUCUGAAGAAAUUCCAGAACCAUAUUCCAUAAUUACAUCUAUUCUUGGAUCUGGAGAG
RNAcentral lists this unclassified non-coding RNA (325 nucleotides) under Hevea brasiliensis (rubber tree). The record is from RNAcentral. Lineage: Eukaryota; Viridiplantae; Streptophyta; Magnoliopsida; Malpighiales; Euphorbiaceae.